Molecule: unclassified non-coding RNA, 5060 nt
Filed under: Penaeus japonicus
Lineage: Eukaryota; Metazoa; Arthropoda; Malacostraca; Decapoda; Penaeidae
Description: dNA polymerase subunit gamma-1-like, transcript variant X1
Source: RNAcentral
GACAGCUGCAUUCAUUACACUGGCUGGCACUGCAUUUGUUUAAUAGAAUACUUGAUUUGAAAGGAUCAUGUUAAUAUGUUGAAAAUAAGAAAGGUAGCAUUGUAUAAUAAACAGUUACAAUGCUUGUGGACAGUUCAAAAGAAUCUGUGGCAGUCUUGGCACUAUACAAGUGUUGCUUAUGUGAAUGUUAGACAUAAAUCAACAACAAAGAAGCCAUGGAAAGGAUCUUUACAGCAAGAAAAUAGCUCAUUUACAGAAGACUUCACUUCACUAUCAGAGUCCAGUAUUAAUCAAGACAGUGUUAUACAGUAUGAUGGAGAUCCAUUGCCAAGAGUUAUGAAAAAGAAAUCAUCUCAUAAAUCAGUGGAAAAGGAAAUUGAUAAAGCAGACUUUUCAGAUUUUUAUAAAAAGUAUGGGGAGGAUUCUACAAGUAGUAAUGAGAGUGCUGAAAAUAGUUCUAUAACAAUACUUCCAUUGCAUGAGGUUCUAAAAACUCUUCAAGAGGAACAUUUUGUAAAAAGUAAAUUGCAGGAGAAAAGGCAUGGGCCAACUCAAACCCCAAGUUGUUUGGAAGUUGACACACAACCAAAAAUUAGCAAUAAAAAUGUUAUUUCUAAAAAUAGAAGAGAUGACUCCAAGAAUUUUCACCAAAAGUCAAAUACUUUACAUAGCAAGAAAAAAAUUGUUAUUGUUAAAGGGAAAAGGGAAACACAGAAGAGCAAAAUUAAUGCAACCAAUCAGAUUUCCAGGAAUCAGAAUCAGGCAGAACCGGGUAUCAAUACAUUAAAUGGAUUGUCAAAUGAAGGGGUAAAAUUUCUUGAUUUGUCAAAAAAGUCUGAAAAAGAAGUGGAGAGAAAAGAGAAAAUUGAAUCAGAAAUAAGAGAGAUACUAGACAAAAAAUUUAAUGGCAUUCAAAAUAAGAGAUCUACUAGUACAAUGUAUCGGGAGAGUAAGCUAGGGAUCCAGAUGCUCUCAUCCCCCCUAUAUGAACAGCUCUUUUCUAAUGUCACUCCAAAGGAAGAGCAGGAGGUUAAAGAUGAUUUAAAUAGAAGCAAGGAACAUCUUAUUGCCCAAGGUUUAUGGGGAAAAGAACCAUCUGUUCUUCCUGACUUUGAUUUCAAGUUACCCCCAUUAAAAGACAGAGAUCUAGAUCAACAUUUUCGUAUAAUUGCUGAGGAGCAGUGUGCACCUUAUAAAGAUUUGCUCUGUCAGUUAGUAGGUGCCGAUUUACCAAAUUUUCCAAGCAGAUGGAAUUUCACAUCUGGAUGGACUCGAUAUAAUGCUGAUGGAAGUGUCACAGCAGUUGAUUACCCAGACUGUAAAGCUUUAGUUUUUGAUGUGGAAGUAUGCAUGGAAGAGGGUAAAAGGCCAACUUUAGCUACUGCAGUGUCAGAUAAGUAUUGGUAUUCCUGGUGCAGUAAGCAAUUGGUUAAUGAUCAAAGUGAAGGAACCCAAGAAGUUCUUUAUGAAGACCUUAUACCUCUUGAAUUUUCAAAAGAGACUGGAAUGGAUCAUAACAAGAGCAUGCCAAGAGUUGUUAUUGGACAUAAUGUUAGUUAUGAUAGACUGAGGGUACGUGAACAGUACCAAGUUGAGGGAACACUACUACGUUUUGUGGAUACAAUGUCAUUGCACAUAGCAGUAAGUGGACUUAUUUCAGAGCAGAGAGCAAUGAUGUUAAAAAAUAAAAAUUCAGACAAGAAAGUUAAGCUUCCCUGGAUGUUUGUUGGAUGCCAGAAUAGUCUUAAUGAAAUUUUUAAGUUUUAUUGUCGCACUGGCGAAGAUCUGAAAAAGGAUACACGAGAUGUAUUUGUUAAAGGUAGUCUUGUUGAUAUACGUGAAGAUUUUCAAAAUCUGAUGAGUUACUGUGCAAGUGAUGUGAAAGCUACGCACAUGGUAUCAGUGAAAUUGUUACCUCUAUUUUUUGAACGAUUUCCUCAUCCAGUAAGUUUUGCUGGUAUGCUAGAAAUGGGAACAACAUUUUUACCUGUAACACAGAACUGGAAUAAAUACAUCCGUGCUGCAGAAUCCGAGUUCCAUAGAAUGGAAAGACUAUUAAAUGAAGAAUUGGUAAAACAAGCGAGAGGAGCACUGAGAUAUGUUGAUAACAAAGAAUAUGAAAAUGAUCCAUGGCUUUGGAGUCUUGACUGGUCAGUACCAAAAGGAAGAGUGAAGAAGCUGCCUGGCUAUCCAAAUUGGUAUAGGAAAUUAUGUGCACACACUGGAGAAAGGGAGGGCACACCUGAGCCAGAAAAUAUGAGUACUAGUUUACAAGUUGUACCAAGACUGUUAAGAUUAACUUGGAAUGGGCUUCCUCUGCAUUAUGAGAAAAAAUAUGGUUGGGGUUACUUGAAACCUUCAUAUGGAAGUGUAGGUGAAAUACCACAGCGAGAAACUACGAUGGACAGCAAUAUUGUGCAUCAGACUUUUCCUGUGAAAUCUAUCUAUAAAAUGUAUGCAGGCCAAAAAAUAGAUAUUGAAAGUUUUCUAAAACAGAAAGAAAACCAGACCAGUGAUUUGCCUGAAACAGAACAGGAUUGGUUGUCACUUUUGUCUGAGAGUGAGUCCGAACGUAAAGUAAAAGAAAAAAAGAAAUCAAAUGAUCAAAAUCAAAAGAAAAAAGAUGAAGAGCAAGGGUAUGAUAUUGGGAUUCCUGGCAUUGCAUUUGUUCCAUUACCACAUAAAGAUGGGCCAGGCAACCGUGUAGGUAAUCCCCUUGCAAAAGACUUUCUUCUGAAAAUUGAAGAUAAAACAUUGAGCAGUUAUUUUGGAGAUGUAGCUGAGUUAGUUCUGAAGACAAGCAAAUCAUUGUCAUAUUGGCGGAAUAAUAGAGACAGAAUACUAUCCCAGAUGGUCAUAUGGAAGGACAAGAAUGAUGAUUUAAAUGAUGAGCUUUCAGAAGCUAAUGAAGAGAAGAAUUGUAGAACUGGCAUUAUUUUGCCAAUGGUAGUGACGGCAGGCACUAUCACUCGGCGUGCAGUGGAACCGACUUGGAUGACAGCCUCUAAUGCCUAUGUAGAUCGCAUUGGUUCUGAACUGAAAGCCAUGGUUGAAGCCCCCCCUGGUUACAGUUUUGUUGGAGCUGAUGUAGACUCACAGGAAUUGUGGAUUGCUGCUGUGCUUGGUGAUGCUUACUUCUCUGGUGAACAUGGAGCUACUGCCCUUGGCUGGAUGACAUUGCAAGGGAAGAAGUCUGAUGGCUCAGACAUGCACAGUCGAACUGCCAAUACUGCUGGCAUAUCACGUGAUCAUGCUAAGGUUAUCAAUUAUGGGAGAAUUUAUGGAGCAGGGUUACGCUUCAUUCAAAGAUUAUUGCGGCAGUUUAAUCCCAAAUCUUCAGAAGAAGAAACCCAACAACGUGCUGUGCAACUAUUUGCAACUACCAAAGGACAAAAAGGAUGGUACCUCAGUAAGAUGGGAGAAAAGCUUGCAUCAGAACUGAAUUAUCCACUCAGUGGUGAAGCUUUAGAUCGCAAGGAGGUAAACAAGUUGCUGAGGCAGGCCAGAUAUAGCAACAUAGAAGCCUCAUUUUACGAUGUAGUGGAGGGUCCUGCUGUAUGGGCAGGUGGCUCUGAAUCUCAUAUGUUCAACUGUUUAGAAGCAAUAGCCAGGUCUGAAGAACCACGGACACCAGUACUAGGAGCAAGAGUAACCCGUGCCCUUGAAUCAAAAUAUGUUGAUGACCAGUACAUGACUAGCAGAGUGAAUUGGGUCGUCCAGAGCUCAGCUGUUGAUUAUCUUCACAUCAUGCUUGUGUCUAUGCGAUGGUUACUCCAAGAUUACAACAUAAGAGGAAGAUUUUGUAUCAGCAUCCAUGAUGAGGUGAGAUACUUGGUAGCAACAGAAGACGCUCAUCGUGCUGCUCUGGCUCUUCAGAUCACCAACCUACUGACACGCUCACUCUUUGCUCAAAAAUUAGGUUUCAAAGAUUUGCCUCAGUCUGUAGCUUUCUUCAGUGCAGUAGACAUAGAUCACGUUCUUCGUAAAGAGCCCCACCUUGACUGUGUUACACCUUCAAAUCCAGAAGGUCUGAAUAAAGGGUAUGGAAUUCCUCCUGGAGAAGCUCUUGAUAUGCAGAAAAUUCUUGAGAUCACCUCAGGUAUUCUUGAGAAGAAUAAAGAGGAUGCCAGAUGAUUGUAUCAUUCUGCUAUUUACAUGCAGAGACUUGAAUCUCCUGUGCCUGCAAGGCUAGUUUACUGGGCUCCCUCAGGUGGCAUCACAAGUGGCAUGUGAUCAUUUAUUUGUUUACAUAGCAGUGGUUGGUGCAGCUCCAUCGAUUAUGAAAUACCAAAGGCAUCCUCAGGAGAUAUACUGACUGGAGUAAAUAGGAGUAUUAGAUAUUUUAAAUAUCUUGUGAAAUAUUACUCUGUGUUUUACUUAUUGCAUAAACAAUUUUUUUUUUUUUUUUUUUAUUGUUAUUCUCACUUACUGAAUAUGCAUUAAAAGUUUCUUAAAUUAAAUUGUAUUGCAAUAAAUAAAUUAUAAUAUAGUAAUUUGUCUUGCUGACUCAGAUUAUUAAGUUAAAAUCCAAUAUGUAAACAAAGCAUAAAUAACAAAAUAUAAAAGUGCCUUACUCCUCUUCUCCUGUGCCACCAAAUCUGCAGGCUCAUUGCAAAUAAUCUUGAAGUCAAGCAAAUGUGAUUUGUAGUCAACCUGGUACAGCUGCAGAGCCAUAUGUACAUAGCUUCCAAUCACUGGAUUCUUUCGUCGUACACGCACGUGGAAAGGAUUAACAACCUUCCAUUCCUUUACCAUAGAAAGAGAAAUGUUUAUAUAUUGUUGUACAUCAGUCAUGAAUAUAAAUAAGUCAGAUAGCAAAUUAAAUUACUUUUUACUGAAUCUAAUUUAACCCAUUUCUUAUUUUCCAAUGUACCUGACACAAUCAGGUAUGCUACUCCCUCAGAUUUUUCACAUCACAACAUAUUGCUUUCUUUCCUUUGAAUGUGUUGUAUGGGCCAUAAUUAGUGUUGUGGAAAUGUGAAAUAAGUCACCACUUGUGUAAGUCCUUAUCAGCUUUGGUCUUACAUUGUGUCUUUAUAAGAAUAAAUGCUGUUAUUUAA